Molecule: transfer RNA, 70 nt
Filed under: Ictidomys tridecemlineatus (thirteen-lined ground squirrel)
Lineage: Eukaryota; Metazoa; Chordata; Mammalia; Rodentia; Sciuridae
Description: Spermophilus tridecemlineatus (thirteen-lined ground squirrel) tRNA
Rfam family: tRNA
About the family: Transfer RNA (tRNA) molecules are approximately 80 nucleotides in length.
Source: Rfam by way of RNAcentral
GGGGAUAUAGCUCAGUUGGUAGAGUGCUUGUCUCACAUGCACAAGGCCCUGGGUUCAAUACCCAGCACCA